GUAUGUGUAUUAUGGACCAGAGUGGCUUGAGACAACUGAAACUGUCUUAUCAUUAAAAAGUUGUAUUUUUGUACAUUUCCAUCCUUCUACCCUUUAGGACAAGCCCAUUAUUCGGAAGUCCAGUUACGAGGAUCCUGACAAGUGCCUGCUUCUCUAUGGUGAUG
RNAcentral lists this long non-coding RNA (164 nucleotides) under Capra hircus (goat). RNAcentral's name for it is "lncRNA (ENSCHIG00010004881.1)". Lineage: Eukaryota; Metazoa; Chordata; Mammalia; Artiodactyla; Bovidae. The record is from RNAcentral.